UGUGGUGACUAUAUGCUAAUCGUGGACUAAUGUUUGGAAUGAUAAUUCACAGCAAUAUCAGUUCAUCUGUAGUGUCCCCUAAUUGGACAAUUAGUUUGAUAUACACUAUAACAAGGAUCAUCAACUAGAUUCAGCUGUGUGAAGAUUUGUUCUUGAGCGGAUGGACAGGUUACACUAUACACUAUACACUAUACACUAUACACUACACACUACACACUACACACUAUACACUAUACACUAUACACUACACACUAUACACUAUACACUAUACACUAUACACUAUACACUAUACACUACACACUACACACUAUACACUAUACACUAUACACUAUACACUAUACACUACAUACACUACACACUACACACUACACACUACACACUACACACUAUACACUAUACACUAUACACUAUACACUACACACUACACACUACACACUAUACACUAUACACUACACACUAUACACUACAACACUACACACUACACACUAUACACUACACAUACACACUACACCAAUACACCACUACACACUAUACACUAUACACUAUGCACUACACACUACACACUACACACUACACACUAUACACUAUACACUAUACACUACACAUUACACACUAUACACUACACACUAUACACUAUACACUACACAUUACACACUACACACUAUACACUAUACACUACACAUUACACACUACACACUAUACACUAUACACUAUACACUACACACUACACACUACACACUACACACUAUACACUAUACACUACACACUACACACUACACACUAUACACUAUACACAAUACACUACACACUAUACACUACACACUACACACUACACACUAUACACUAUACACUAUACACUACACACUAUACACUACACACUACACACUACACACUACACACUACACACUAUACACUACACACUACACCAAUACACACUACACCACUAUACACUAUGCACUACACACUACACACUAUACACUAUACACUACACAUUACACACUACACACUAUACACUAUACACUAUACACUACACACUACACCAAUACACACUACACACUACACACUAUACACUACACACUACACACUACACACUACACACUACACACUAUACACUACACACUACACACUACACCAAUACACACUACACACUAUACACUAUGCCACUAUGCACUACACACUACACACUAUACACUAUACACUACACAUUACACACUACACACUAUACACUAUACACUAUACACUACACACUACACCAAUACACACUACACACUAUACACUACACACUAUAUACUACACACUACACAUUACACACUAUACACUAUACACUAUACACUAUACACUAUACACUACACACUACACCAAUACACACUACACACUAUACACUACACACUAUAUACUACACACUACACAUUACACACUAUACACUACACACUACACACUACACACUACAUCAAUACACACUACACACUACACCCAAUACACACUACACACUAUACACUACACACUAUACACUACACACUACACACUAUACACUACACACUACACACUACACACUAUACACUACACACUAUACACUAUACACUACACACUAUACACUACACAUUACACACUACACACUACACAUUACACACUAUACACUACACACUACACACUAUACACUAUACACUAUACACUACACACUACACACUACACACUAUACACUAUACACUAUACACUACACAUUACACACUAUACACUACACACUACACACUACACACUACACACUAUACACUAUACACAAUACACUACACACUAUACACUACACACUACACACUACACACUACACACUACACACUAUACACUACACACUACACACUACACCAAUACACACUACACACUAUACACUAUGCACUACACACUACACACUAUACACUAUACACUACACAUCACACACUACACACUAUACACUAUACACUAUACACUACACACUACACCAAUACACACUACACACUAUACACUACACACUAUAUACUACACACUACACAUUACACCACUAUACACUAUACACUAUACACUAUACACUAUACACUAUACACUAUACACUACACACUACACCAAUACACACUACACACUAUACACUACACAUUACACACUAUACACUACACACUACACACUAUACACUACACAUUACACACUAUACACUACACACUAUACACUACACACUACACACUACAUCAAUACACACUACACACUACACCAAUACACACUACACACUAUACACUACACACUAUACACUACACACUACACAUUACACACUAUACACUACACACUAUACACUACACACUACACACUACACACUAUACACUACACACUAUACACUACACACUAUACACUACACAUUACACACUACACACUACACAUUAUACAUUACACACUAUACACUACACACUACACACUACACACUACACACUACACACUAUACACUACACACUAUACACUAUACACUACACAUUACACACUACACACUACACAUUACACACUAUACACUAUACACUAUACACUACACACUAUACACUAUACACUAUACACUAUACACUAUACACUACACAUUACACACUAUACACUACACACUAUACACUACACACUAUACACUACACACUAUACACUACACAUUACACACUACACACUACACAUUACACACUAUACAUUACACACUAUACACUACACACUAUACACUACACACUACACACUACACACUAUACACUACACACUAUACACUAUACACUACACAUUACACACUACACACUACACAUUACACACUAUACACUAUACACUAUACACUACACACUACACACUAUACACUACACACUAUACACUAUACACUACACAUUACACACUAUACACUAUACACUACACAUUACACACUACACACUAUACACUACACAUUACACACUAUACACUAUACACUACACACUACACCAAUACACACUACACACUAUACACUACACACUAUAUACUACACACUACACAUUACACACUAUACACUACACACUAUACACUACACAUUACACACUAUACACUACACACUAUACACUACACACUACACACUACAUCAAUACACACUACACACUACACCAAUACACACUACACACUAUACACUACACACUACACAUUACACACUAUACACUACACACUAUACACUACACACUACACACUACACACUAUACACUACACACUAUACACUAUACACUACACCACUAUACACUACACAUUACACACUACACACUACACAUUACACACUAUACACUACACACUACACAUUACACACUAUACACUACACACUAUACACUACACACUACACACUAUACACUACACACUAUACACUAUACACUACACACUAUACACUACACAUUACACACUACACACUAUACACUACACACUAUACACUACACAUUACACACUACACACUAUACACUACACAUUACACACUACCCACUACACAUUACACACUAUACACUACACACCAUACACUACACAUUACACACUACACACUACACACUAUACACUACACACUACACACUACACACUAUACACUAUACACUAUACACUACACACUACACACUACACACCUUACACUACACACUAUACACUAUACACUACACACUACACACUACACACUACACACUCAGUGGUGACCCAUCAUUCGUUAUAUCUACCGUAGCUUUUAUUGAACUGAUCAUGUCAGCAUCAUACUUUCAAAGACAAGCAGUCAUCAUCAUGAAUCACGUCCACAGUCUACUGGCAAAUCCUCUUCAAUCCUUGUCAAAUGAAGAUUAAUUCUAAAUGCAAUGUAUCGGUGCUCAUCGGCCAUUGGACAUAAACAUUACACAAGAAGAUGGAAAUCGCAAAUUCAACAAUGAGGUGGUUUGGAAGGAAUCAGUGGCUAACUGCAAGCAUUGCAAAGCAAUCACUAGCCUGCUAUUCAGUGGAGUGGGUGUGUGGUCCAAGUCUGGGUUUAAGAGUCUCUUUUCCAAGCUUAAAAGGAUAAACAGUCACAUGCAAACCCGUGGGCCUGAACACUGUAAGAACGGCCCAUAUUCUAAAUUAUGUCGCUGUACAUUUCAAAAGUGCUGAACAAA
This 4118-nucleotide long non-coding RNA is filed under the name Oncorhynchus kisutch (coho salmon). RNAcentral's name for it is "lncRNA (ENSOKIG00005045773.1)". The record is from RNAcentral. Lineage: Eukaryota; Metazoa; Chordata; Actinopteri; Salmoniformes; Salmonidae.